Molecule: long non-coding RNA, 245 nt
Organism: Heteronotia binoei (common prickly gecko)
Lineage: Eukaryota; Metazoa; Chordata; Lepidosauria; Squamata; Gekkonidae
Exons: 2
Source: RefSeq, a predicted model, not a curated record
AAAAAAGUGGUCCAGCAUCAGCAUCACCAGCACAUCCAGUAGGCAGAGAGAAGCUGCUUCCUAGAACUCACAAGAACCAAGUGGUUAGCAUCUGCCUCUAAUCCAAAAGGGAAAAUGAAAUCCCCUCUCCUAUCACUGGCAACAGGGAUUCCUGCAGACGGAUGAUAAUUCUACCCAGCUACCUCACUGACAGCCAAGGAAGCUUGAAAGACAGAAAGACCAAAGGGAAAUGGAUGUAUUUUUUU